Molecule: small RNA, 865 nt
Filed under: Cryptococcus neoformans H99
Lineage: Eukaryota; Fungi; Basidiomycota; Tremellomycetes; Tremellales; Cryptococcaceae
Description: Cryptococcus neoformans var. grubii H99 hypothetical RNA
Source: RNAcentral
CACAAAACAUACAUCGAGUAUAAGAGCACAAGGGAGAAUACAACUGAGGGGAGAAUGGGCCAAUAAGGCCGUUGCAGAGCGAGACAGAGAACAGAGCGAGCUCUUGGUUUCUACUCCGCCAUGGAUGUGUGUCGCUGAGCCGGCAACGAAUGCUACCAUAGGCAUGCUCUUGCAGGAUGAUGCUCCCCUCUAGCCCUUUCCCAUAUGGCUGCUUCGGUAUCUUGAUUCUACUGUUCGUCAAACGCCCUUCUCUAUGACAUCGGGUGCAAUUUCGAAGUCCAUUUGUGAUCGAGAGGUCUUUUCAUAGAGGAGCUCAACUCGACGCCGAGCAGAUUGCGCAUCGGAGUGUCUGUAUUCCAUGCCUACGCACAUAGGCCUCGUCAGAUUAGGUACAACCGCCUCCUGAAAUGGCGGCACUUUUCAGUCCGCUAUUUCAGAGGCCCAAGUUGAUCGCCUCCGACUUGUCAUCAACGAUGUUGUGAAAGGAAACAAGGAGGGCGAAGCGGAUCAGAAGCAGAUUGACAGAGUUAGUCGUUCGCUUAACAGUCACAUAAAGACUCGUUUGCGGCCGAGCAGGAUCAGCAGGAAAGAUCUUGUAAGGGAACAAGAGAACAGUAAGGAGGAUGAGAGAACGAGAGAAUAAUAAGCAGGAUGGAGAAGUAGUUUCGGAGGACCGAGGAGAAGAAGAAGACGAGGGGAAGAAAAGGAGGACCGUGCGAGGAGGCGUUAAGGAAGAAAAAAGUCCAGGGAAAACCUAGGGAAAAGAUGAGAAAGCUGAGUCAGCUCGAGGAGUUGAGAAAGAUAUAUAAGGAGUAGUCCUUAGAGUAGAUUAGAUGCAUCGGCCCCAAGCGGCCUAGUCUUCUCG